RNAcentral lists this ribosomal RNA (607 nucleotides) under Citrobacter braakii. RNAcentral's name for it is "bacterial SSU rRNA". It matches the Rfam family "Bacterial small subunit ribosomal RNA", at positions 135 to 757 of the family's 1533-position model. The record is from RNAcentral. Lineage: Bacteria; Pseudomonadati; Pseudomonadota; Gammaproteobacteria; Enterobacterales; Enterobacteriaceae.
GGAGGGGGAUAACUACUGAAAACGGUACCUAAGACCGCAAAACGUCGCAAGACCAAGGAGGGGGACCUUCGGGCCUCUUGCCAUCGGAUGUGCCCAGAUGGGACUACCUAGUAGGUGGGGUAACGGCUCACCUAUGCCACGAUCCCUAACUGGUCUGAGAGGAUGACCGGCCACACUGGAACUGAGACACGGUCCACACUCCUACCGGAGGCAGCAGUGGGGAAUAUUGCACCAUGGGCGCAGGCCUGAUGCCUCCAUGCCGCGUGUAUGAAGAAUGCCUUCGGGUUGCAGAUACUUUCCUCGAUGAGGAAGGAUUGUGGUUGAUAACCUCACUGAUUGACGUUACUCGCAAAAUAAUCACCGGCCAACUCCGUGCCACCAGCCACGGUCCUACGGAAGGUGCAAGCGUUAAUCGUAAUUACUGGGCAUAGAGCGCACGCAGGCGGUCUGUCGGUCUUAUGUCAGAUCCCCGGGCUCACCUGGGAACUGCAUCCGACACUGGAAGCUAGAACUUGAGAGGGGGGUAGAUUCGGGUUCCCGUUUAAUGCGAAAGUCUGAGGAUACCGAUGCCAAUGCCGCCCCUGGACAAGAUGACACUCGAUGCGAA